CACGCCGUAAACGAUGGGUGCUAGGUGUCGGGGGCUAUGACCCCCUCGGUGCCGAAGCAAACGCAUUAAGCACCCCGCCUGGGGAGUACGGCCGCAAGGCUAAAACUCAAAGGAAUUGACGGGGGCCCGCACAAGCGGUGGAGCAUGUGGUUUAAUUCGAUGCAACGCGAAGAACCUUACCUGGGCUAGAAAACAUUAGAAGUCUGUGGAAACAUGGAUGUGCUCUUCGGAGAGCUAGUGGUUAGGUGC
RNAcentral lists this ribosomal RNA (249 nucleotides) under uncultured bacterium. RNAcentral describes it as "partial 16S ribosomal RNA". It matches the Rfam family "Bacterial small subunit ribosomal RNA", at positions 796 to 1041 of the family's 1533-position model. The record is from RNAcentral.